This 73-nucleotide transfer RNA is filed under the name Camelus bactrianus (Bactrian camel). It matches the Rfam family "tRNA". Rfam says of the family: Transfer RNA (tRNA) molecules are approximately 80 nucleotides in length. Their secondary structure includes four short double-helical elements and three loops (D, anti-codon, and T loops). Further hydrogen bonds mediate the characteristic L-shaped molecular structure. tRNAs have two regions of fundamental functional importance: the anti-codon, which is responsible for specific mRNA codon recognition, and the 3' end, to which the tRNAs corresponding amino acid is attached (by aminoacyl-tRNA synthetases). tRNAs cope with the degeneracy of the genetic code in two manners: having more than one tRNA (with a specific anti-codon) for a particular amino acid; and 'wobble' base-pairing, i.e. permitting non-standard base-pairing at the 3rd anti-codon position. RNAcentral also lists the same sequence under 2 other names. The record is from Rfam by way of RNAcentral. Lineage: Eukaryota; Metazoa; Chordata; Mammalia; Artiodactyla; Camelidae.
GAGGGUAUAGCUCAAGUGGUAGAGCACAUGGUUAGCAUGCAUGAGGUCCUGGGUUCAAUUCCCAGUACCUCCU